CCUACGGGAGGCAGCAGUGAGGAAUAUUGGUCAAUGGGCGCGAGCCUGAACCAGCCAAGUAGCGUGAAGGAUGACUGCCCUACGGGUUGUAAACUUCUUUUAUAAAGGAAUAAAGUGAGGCACGUGUGCCUUGUUGUAUGGACUGUAUGAAUAAGGAUCGGCUAACUCCGUGCCAGCAGCCGCGGUAAUCCGGAGGAUCCGAGCGUUAUCCGGAUUUAGUGGGUUGAAAGGGAGCGUAGAGGGGUUGUUAAGUCAGUUGUGACAGUUUGCGGCGCCACCGUAAAAGUGCAAUUGAUACGGGCAGUCUUGAGUACAGUUGCGGUCGGCUGACUUCGUGGUGUAGCGGU
Molecule: ribosomal RNA, 347 nt
Filed under: uncultured bacterium
Lineage: Bacteria
Description: partial 16S ribosomal RNA
Rfam family: Bacterial small subunit ribosomal RNA
Source: RNAcentral